Long non-coding RNA from Alligator mississippiensis (American alligator), 567 nucleotides. RefSeq lists it as uncharacterized. The transcript has 4 exons. The record is from RefSeq and is a predicted model, not a curated record. NCBI's taxonomy places the organism in Eukaryota, Metazoa, Chordata, Crocodylia, Alligatoridae.
CCUCCCCCCCCCCCCCCCGGUGGCGCGCGGCGGCCGUUACGGACGGUUGCGGGCGCCGCCCCUCCCCCCAGCAGAGCGCGCGGCGGGCGCGGGCGGGAUGCGGCGGGGGCUGGGCCGGCAUCCAGCAGCGUCCCUGGGCAGGCACGGGAGUUCUCCACCAGAUAUCACCAGAGAAGCUGCUGAAAGACUUAAGAGACUCUCCUAAUACAGAACCAUAUUUUGGUUUCAUGUCCUGUGACCUGGCUAUGAAGAAGAUCUUUUAUCCAGGUCAUUAUGGAACCUAGCCCUACCCUCCACAGUAUCUGCAGCUCCACUCAACUUCGUGUGAUCUGCAAAUUUGUUAAGUGUGCACUUGAUACCAUCAUCCAAGUCAUUAUUGAGGAUGUUGAACAGUUUUGGACCCAGGACAGCCCCUGGUGAGCUCCACUUGAUACUUUCUUCCAACUGGACACUGGGCCAUUGAUGACUAUUCAUUAAAGAGAAUGAUCCAACCUGUGUGUAUCCACCUUACAAUGCUUCUGUCUCAUCUGUAUUUCCUUAGCUUGUUAAUAAAAAUGUUGAGCGAGA